CCUACGGGAGGCAGCAGUGAGGAAUAUUGGUCAAUGGGCGGGAGCCUGAACCAGCCAAGCCGCGUGAAGGAAGAAGGCGCCAAGCGUCGUAAACUUCUUUUGUCGGGGAACAAAGGGCGCCACGUGUGGCGUUGUGAGUGUACCCGAAGAAAAAGGAUCGGCUAACUCCGUGCCAGCAGCCGCGGUAAUACGGAGGAUGCGAGGGUUAUCCGGAUUUAUUGGGUUUAAAGGGUGCGUAGGCGGUCCGGAAAGUCAGCGGGAAAAGCCCGGGGCUCAACCCCGGCGAGCCGUUGAAACUGUCGGACUAGAGACGGCGUGAGGUACGAGGAAUGCGCGGUGUAGCGGUGAAAUGCAUAGAUAUCGCGCAGAACUCCGAUUGCGAAGGCAGCGUACCGGCGCCUGACUGACGCUGAGGCACGAAAGCGUGGGUAUCGAACAGGAGUAGAUACCCGUGUAGUC
This 459-nucleotide ribosomal RNA is filed under the name uncultured bacterium. RNAcentral describes it as "partial 16S ribosomal RNA". It matches the Rfam family "Bacterial small subunit ribosomal RNA", at positions 338 to 795 of the family's 1533-position model. The record is from RNAcentral.